Molecule: ribosomal RNA, 422 nt
Filed under: uncultured bacterium
Lineage: Bacteria
Description: bacterial SSU rRNA
Rfam family: Bacterial small subunit ribosomal RNA
Source: RNAcentral
UGAUGCAGCCAUGCCGCGUGUGUGAAGAAGGACCUUCGGGUUGUAAAGCACUUUCAGUAGGGAGGAAGGUAGUGUAGUUAACACCUGCAUUAUUUGACGUUACCUACAGAAGAAGCACCGGCUAACUCCGUGCCAGCAGCCGCGGUAAUACGGAGGGGUGCGAGCGUUAAUCGGAAUUACUGGGCGUAAAGCGCAUGCAGGCGGCCUGUUAAGUCAGAUGUGAAAGCCCGGGGCUUAACCUCGGAAUUGCAUUUGAAACUGGCAGGCUAGAGUCUUGUAGAGGGGGGUAGGAAUUUCAGGUGUAGCGGUGAAAUGCGUAGAGAUCUGAAGGAAUACCAGUGGCGAAGGCGGCCCCCUGGACAAAGACUGACGCUCAGAUGCGAAAGCGUGGGGACGCAAACAGGAUUAGAUACCCCUGGUAG